This 642-nucleotide long non-coding RNA is filed under the name Homo sapiens (human). RNAcentral describes it as "non-protein coding lnc-MNS1-8:1". The record is from RNAcentral. Lineage: Eukaryota; Metazoa; Chordata; Mammalia; Primates; Hominidae.
ACAAACUCAUCACGAGUUGUGUCUAAUAAGUCAUCAGAGUUACUGUUUGACUUGACCCAGGAUACAGGAUUAUCACAUUACCAAGGGGGACCAACACUUUCUAUGGCAGGUAUGAGUGAAAGUUCAUUUUUAUCAAAACGUCCUUCUACUUCUGAAGUAAAUAAUGUUAAUCCAAAGAAGCCUAAACCCAGCGAAAGUGUUUCUGGAGCAAAUUCCUCAGCUGUAUUACCUUCAGUUAAAUCUCCUUCAGUGACUUCUUCCCAGGCUAUGCUAGCAAAAGGUACAAAUACCUCAUCAAAUCAGUCUAAAAAUGGAACACCUUUUCCAAGAGCUUGUCCAAAGUGCAACAUUCAUUUCAAUCUUUUGGAUCCUUUGAAAAAUCACAUGAAGGUAAAACUCUUUCAAAAUUUAAUUUGUAAAAAGUUUGCACAUUUCUAAAAAUACUGAUGAUUACAGUAAUUAAUGGUUUGUCCAGAAAUAAUCUCAUUGGUAUUUCCAUUUAAUUUAAAUAAAAAUUUACAUUCAUAAUGAUUAUAUAGAUUCUCAAAUUCCUUCUAAAUCCUCAAAUUUUAAAACUUAAAUUUGUAUAUAUUAUAAUGUAUGCUUAUUGUAUUUUAAUUUUAAAUAAAAAUAAUGUAUUAA